RNAcentral lists this ribosomal RNA (2024 nucleotides) under Klebsiella aerogenes. RNAcentral's name for it is "partial 23S ribosomal RNA". It matches the Rfam family "Bacterial large subunit ribosomal RNA", at positions 167 to 2215 of the family's 2925-position model. Lineage: Bacteria; Pseudomonadati; Pseudomonadota; Gammaproteobacteria; Enterobacterales; Enterobacteriaceae. The record is from RNAcentral.
UAGGUUAACGAGGCGAACCGGGGGAACUGAAACAUCUAAGUACCCCGAGGAAAAGAAAUCAACCGAGAUUCCCCCAGUAGCGGCGAGCGAACGGGGAGCAGCCCAGAGUCUGAAUCAGCUUGUGUGUUAGUGGAACGGUCUGGAAAGUCCGACGGUACAGGGUGAUAGUCCCGUACACCAAAAUGCACAGGUUGUGAACUCGAAGAGUAGGGCGGGACACGUGGUAUCCUGUCUGAAUAUGGGGGGACCAUCCUCCAAGGCUAAAUACUCCUGACUGACCGAUAGUGAACCAGUACCGUGAGGGAAAGGCGAAAAGAACCCCGGCGAGGGGAGUGAAAAAGAACCUGAAACCGUGUACGUACAAGCAGUGGGAGCACCUUCGGGUGUGACUGCGUACCUUUUGUAUAAUGGGUCAGCGACUUAUAUUCUGUAGCAAGGUUAACCGUAUAGGGGAGCCGCAGGGAAACCGAGUCUUAACUGGGCGUUAAGUUGCAGGGUAUAGACCCGAAACCCGGUGAUCUAGCCAUGGGCAGGUUGAAGGUUGGGUAACACUAACUGGAGGACCGAACCGACUAAUGUUGAAAAAUUAGCGGAUGACUUGUGGCUGGGGGUGAAAGGCCAAUCAAACCGGGAGAUAGCUGGUUCUCCCCGAAAGCUAUUUAGGUAGCGCCUCGUGAACUCAUCUUCGGGGGUAGAGCACUGUUUCGGCUAGGGGGUCAUCCCGACUUACCAACCCGAUGCAAACUACGAAUACCGAAGAAUGUUAUCACGGGAGACACACGGCGGGUGCUAACGUCCGUCGUGAAGAGGGAAACAACCCAGACCGCCAGCUAAGGUCCCAAAGUCACAGUUAAGUGGGAAACGAUGUGGGAAGGCACAGACAGCCAGGAUGUUGGCUUAGAAGCAGCCAUCAUUUAAAGAAAGCGUAAUAGCUCACUGGUCGAGUCGGCCUGCGCGGAAGAUGUAACGGGGCUAAACUGUGCACCGAAGCUGCGGCAGCGACACUAUGUGUUGUUGGGUAGGGGAGCGUUCUGUAAGCCUGCGAAGGUGGCCUGUGAGGGUUGCUGGAGGUAUCAGAAGUGCGAAUGCUGACAUAAGUAACGAUAAUGCGGGUGAAAAGCCCGCACGCCGGAAGACCAAGGGUUCCUGUCCAACGUUAAUCGGGGCAGGGUGAGUCGACCCCUAAGGCGAGGCCGAAAGGCGUAGUCGAUGGGAAACAGGUUAAUAUUCCUGUACUUGGUGUUACUGCGAAGGGGGGACGGAGAAGGCUAUGUUAGCCGGGCGACGGUUGUCCCGGUUUAAGCAUGUAGGCGGAGGUUCCAGGUAAAUCCGGUACCUUUUAACGCUGAGGUGUGAUGACGAGGCACUACGGUGCUGAAGUAACAAAUGCCCUGCUUCCAGGAAAAGCCUCUAAGCAUCAGGUAACAUUGAAUCGUACCCCAAACCGACACAGGUGGUCAGGUAGAGAAUACCAAGGCGCUUGAGAGAACUCGGGUGAAGGAACUAGGCAAAAUGGUGCCGUAACUUCGGGAGAAGGCACGCUGAUAUGUAGGUGAAGCCCCUGCGGGUGGAGCUGAAAUCAGUCGAAGAUACCAGCUGGCUGCAACUGUUUAUUAAAAACACAGCACUGUGCAAACACGAAAGUGGACGUAUACGGUGUGACGCCUGCCCGGUGCCGGAAGGUUAAUUGAUGGGGUUAUCCGUAAGGAGAAGCUCUUGAUCGAAGCCCCGGUAAACGGCGGCCGUAACUAUAACGGUCCUAAGGUAGCGAAAUUCCUUGUCGGGUAAGUUCCGACCUGCACGAAUGGCGUAAUGAUGGCCAGGCUGUCUCCACCCGAGACUCAGUGAAAUUGAACUCGCUGUGAAGAUGCAGUGUACCCGCGGCAAGACGGAAAGACCCCGUGAACCUUUACUAUAGCUUGACACUGAACAUUGAGCCUUGAUGUGUAGGAUAGGUGGGAGGCUUUGAAGCGUGGACGCCAGUCUGCGUGGAGCCAACCUUGAAAUACCACCCUUUAAUGUUU